GUGAUCGUACCAGCACUAAUGCACCGAAUCCCAUCAGAACUCCGAAGUUAAGCCUGUUUGAGCGAGAGUAGUAUUAGGAUAGAUGACCCAUUGGACAGUCCUCGUGUUACACCUC
RNAcentral lists this ribosomal RNA (115 nucleotides) under Salvia splendens (bonfire salvia). Lineage: Eukaryota; Viridiplantae; Streptophyta; Magnoliopsida; Lamiales; Lamiaceae. The record is from RNAcentral.